GAUUUGGGGGGUUACUCCUUCUAAGCUAAAUAUCACCACGAGACCGAUAGCGAACAAGUACCGUGAGGGAAAGUUGAAAAGCACUCUGAAUAGAGAGUCAAAAAGUACGUGAAACUGCCUAGGGCUCAAGCCCGUUGAACUCGAUUAUCCGCGGCGGAGAUAUUCACCUGCGGUUGGCCCUCACCCGGUCCGCCGCAGGGCACUUACCUCCUGCCUCACGAGGACGUUGCGAUCCAUUACGAAACGGUUAGCCAGCGAUGGCUACAGGCCCGGCACCUGCCCCUUGGCAUCUGGUUGCUUGUCCCACAGUAGCGGCGCUCAGUUCGGAAGGCCUGCGCCGCAACCUGGGGCUUACCGGUGCGUGGUGUGCAGCCGGGCGCGUGAUGGAUUCCCGCGUACACCGUCUCGGGAGAGGCUCGCCUCUCCCACCUCCACCAAGGUGACGGACUGUCGAUCGGCAACGAUAAAAUCGAGGUACCUUCGGGACCCGUCUUGAAAACCGGGACCAAGAGUGCUGUCCGGGUUGGUCCCGCGGCGGCGGGUUGGCCGGCGAGAAGCCUCUGCGAGCGGGGCUAUUCUCCCGCGGAAGCGCUACGGGGUUUGCGGCGAAUAGGUCGGUACCCACCCGACCCGUCUUGAAACAGGACCAAAAUU
Molecule: ribosomal RNA, 654 nt
Filed under: Anopheles stephensi (Asian malaria mosquito)
Lineage: Eukaryota; Metazoa; Arthropoda; Insecta; Diptera; Culicidae
Description: eukaryotic LSU rRNA
Rfam family: Eukaryotic large subunit ribosomal RNA (bases 1-503)
Source: RNAcentral